GAUGAACGCUGGCGGCGUGCCUAAUACAUGCAAGUCGAGCGAACAGAUGAGGAGCUUGCUCCUCUGACGUUAGCGGCGGACGGGUGAGUAACACGUGGAUAACCUACCUAUAAGACUGGGAUAACUUCGGGAAACCGGAGCUAAUACCGGAUAAUAUAUUGAACCGCAUGGUUCAAUAGUGAAAGACGGCUUUGCUGUCACUUAUAGAUGGAUCCGCGCCGCAUUAGCUAGUUGGUAAGGUAACGGCUUACCAAGGCAACGAUGCGUAGCCGACCUGAGAGGGUGAUCGGCCACACUGGAACUGAGACACGGUCCAGACUCCUACGGGAGGCAGCAGUAGGGAAUCUUCCGCAAAGGGCGAAAGCCUGACGGAGCAACGCCGCGUGAGUGAUGAAGGUCUUCGGAUCGUAAAACUCUGUUAUUAGGGAAGAACAAAUGUGUAAGUAACUAUGCACGUCUUGACGGUACCUAAUCAGAAAGCCACGGCUAACUACGUG
Molecule: ribosomal RNA, 497 nt
Filed under: uncultured bacterium
Lineage: Bacteria
Description: partial 16S ribosomal RNA
Rfam family: Bacterial small subunit ribosomal RNA
Source: RNAcentral